Molecule: ribosomal RNA, 510 nt
Filed under: uncultured bacterium
Lineage: Bacteria
Description: bacterial SSU rRNA
Rfam family: Bacterial small subunit ribosomal RNA
Source: RNAcentral
GAUCUGGCUCAGGAUGAACGCUAGCGGCAGGCUUAACACAUGCAAGUCGAGGGGCAGCGGGAUGUAGCAAUACAUUGCCGGCGACCGGCGGAUGGGUGCGUAACGCGUAUGCAACCUACCUUAUACAGGGGAAUAACCUUUCGAAAGGGAGACUAACACCCCAUAGUAUUGAUUUAAGGCAUCUUAGAUUAAUUAAAUAUUUAUAGGUAUAAGAUGGGCAUGCGUAUGAUUAGCUAGUUGGUAAGGUAACGGCUUACCAAGGCGACGAUCAUUAGGGGUUCUGAGAGGAAGGUCCCCCACACUGGUACUGAGACACGGACCAGACUCCUACGGGAGGCAGCAGUGAGGAAUAUUGGUCAAUGGGCGCAAGCCUGAACCAGCCAUGCCGCGUGCAGGAAAGACGGCCUUAUGGGUUGUAAACUGCUUUUACAUAAGACUAACCGUAUAUUUGCGAAUAUACCUGAAUGUAUUAUGAGAAUAAGGAUCGGCUAACUCCGUGCCAGCCGCUGC